AUACCGAACACUAUGGUAGUAUGGGUUAAUAUAUUGUCGCGUCGUCACUUGAAUACCAAAGGUGAGCCAGUACAGGAUGGACCCGCGUCUGAUUAGCUAGUUGGUAAGGUAACGGCUUACCAAGGCGACGAUCAGUAGCCGACCUGAGAGGGUGAUCGGCCACAUGGGAACGGAGACACGGUCCAAACUCCUACGGGAGGCAGCAGUGGGGAAUAUUGCACAAUGGGCGAAAGCCUGAUGCAGCAACGCCGCGUGAGUGAUGAAGGCCUUCGGGUCGUAAAACUCUG
Molecule: ribosomal RNA, 287 nt
Filed under: Clostridioides difficile
Lineage: Bacteria; Bacillati; Bacillota; Clostridia; Peptostreptococcales; Peptostreptococcaceae
Description: partial 16S ribosomal RNA
Rfam family: Bacterial small subunit ribosomal RNA
Source: RNAcentral